RNAcentral lists this ribosomal RNA (2217 nucleotides) under Staphylococcus aureus. Its description in RNAcentral is "partial 23S ribosomal RNA". It matches the Rfam family "Bacterial large subunit ribosomal RNA", at positions 707 to 2925 of the family's 2925-position model. The record is from RNAcentral. Lineage: Bacteria; Bacillati; Bacillota; Bacilli; Caryophanales; Staphylococcaceae.
UCGUAGACCCGAAACCAGGUGAUCUACCCUUGGUCAGGUUGAAGUUCAGGUAACACUGAAUGGAGGACCGAACCGACUUACGUUGAAAAGUGAGCGGAUGAACUGAGGGUAGCGGAGAAAUUCCAAUCGAACCUGGAGAUAGCUGGUUCUCUCCGAAAUAGCUUUAGGGCUAGCCUCAAGUGAUGAUUAUUGGAGGUAGAGCACUGUUUGGACGAGGGGCCCCUCUCGGGUUACCGAAUUCAGACAAACUCCGAAUGCCAAUUAAUUUAACUUGGGAGUCAGAACAUGGGUGAUAAGGUCCGUGUUCGAAAGGGAAACAGCCCAGACCACCAGCUAAGGUCCCAAAAUAUAUGUUAAGUGGAAAAGGAUGUGGCGUUGCCCAGACAACUAGGAUGUUGGCUUAGAAGCAGCCAUCAUUUAAAGAGUGCGUAAUAGCUCACUAGUCGAGUGACACUGCGCCGAAAAUGUACCGGGGCUAAACAUAUUACCGAAGCUGUGGAUUGUCCUUUGGACAAUGGUAGGAGAGCGUUCUAAGGGCGUUGAAGCAUGAUCGUAAGGACAUGUGGAGCGCUUAGAAGUGAGAAUGCCGGUGUGAGUAGCGAAAGACGGGUGAGAAUCCCGUCCACCGAUUGACUAAGGUUUCCAGAGGAAGGCUCGUCCGCUCUGGGUUAGUCGGGUCCUAAGCUGAGGCCGACAGGCGUAGGCGAUGGAUAACAGGUUGAUAUUCCUGUACCACCUAUAAUCGUUUUAAUCGAUGGGGGGACGCAGUAGGAUAGGCGAAGCGUGCGAUUGGAUUGCACGUCUAAGCAGUAAGGCUGAGUAUUAGGCAAAUCCGGUACUCGUUAAGGCUGAGCUGUGAUGGGGAGAAGACAUUGUGUCUUCGAGUCGUUGAUUUCACACUGCCGAGAAAAGCCUCUAGAUAGAAAAUAGGUGCCCGUACCGCAAACCGACACAGGUAGUCAAGAUGAGAAUUCUAAGGUGAGCGAGCGAACUCUCGUUAAGGAACUCGGCAAAAUGACCCCGUAACUUCGGGAGAAGGGGUGCUCUUUAGGGUUAACGCCCAGAAGAGCCGCAGUGAAUAGGCCCAAGCGACUGUUUAUCAAAAACACAGGUCUCUGCUAAACCGUAAGGUGAUGUAUAGGGGCUGACGCCUGCCCGGUGCUGGAAGGUUAAGAGGAGUGGUUAGCUUCUGCGAAGCUACGAAUCGAAGCCCCAGUAAACGGCGGCCGUAACUAUAACGGUCCUAAGGUAGCGAAAUUCCUUGUCGGGUAAGUUCCGACCCGCACGAAAGGCGUAACGAUUUGGGCACUGUCUCAACGAGAGACUCGGUGAAAUCAUAGUACCUGUGAAGAUGCAGGUUACCCGCGACAGGACGGAAAGACCCCGUGGAGCUUUACUGUAGCCUGAUAUUGAAAUUCGGCACAGCUUGUACAGGAUAGGUAGGAGCCUUUGAAACGUGAGCGCUAGCUUACGUGGAGGCGCUGGUGGGAUACUACCCUAGCUGUGUUGGCUUUCUAACCCGCACCACUUAUCGUGGUGGGAGACAGUGUCAGGCGGGCAGUUUGACUGGGGCGGUCGCCUCCUAAAAGGUAACGGAGGCGCUCAAAGGUUCCCUCAGAAUGGUUGGAAAUCAUUCAUAGAGUGUAAAGGCAUAAGGGAGCUUGACUGCGAGACCUACAAGUCGAGCAGGGUCGAAAGACGGACUUAGUGAUCCGGUGGUUCCGCAUGGAAGGGCCAUCGCUCAACGGAUAAAAGCUACCCCGGGGAUAACAGGCUUAUCUCCCCCAAGAGUUCACAUCGACGGGGAGGUUUGGCACCUCGAUGUCGGCUCAUCGCAUCCUGGGGCUGUAGUCGGUCCCAAGGGUUGGGCUGUUCGCCCAUUAAAGCGGUACGCGAGCUGGGUUCAGAACGUCGUGAGACAGUUCGGUCCCUAUCCGUCGUGGGCGUAGGAAAUUUGAGAGGAGCUGUCCUUAGUACGAGAGGACCGGGAUGGACAUACCUCUGGUGUACCAGUUGUCGUGCCAACGGCAUAGCUGGGUAGCUAUGUGUGGACGGGAUAAGUGCUGAAAGCAUCUAAGCAUGAAGCCCCCCUCAAGAUGAGAUUUCCCAACUUCGGUUAUAAGAUCCCUCAAAGAUGAUGAGGUUAAUAGGUUCGAGGUGGAAGCAUGGUGACAUGUGGAGCUGACGAAUACUAAUCGAUCGAAGACUUAAUCAAAA